This 588-nucleotide ribosomal RNA is filed under the name Chaetomium strumarium. RNAcentral's name for it is "partial large subunit ribosomal RNA". It matches the Rfam family "Eukaryotic large subunit ribosomal RNA", at positions 51 to 665 of the family's 3401-position model. Lineage: Eukaryota; Fungi; Ascomycota; Sordariomycetes; Sordariales; Chaetomiaceae. The record is from RNAcentral.
CGGAGGAAAAGAAACCAACAGGGAUUGCCCUAGUAACGGCGAGUGAAGCGGCAACAGCUCAAAUUUGAAAUCUGGCCUCGGCCCGAGUUGUAAUUUGUAGAGGAAGCUUUAGGCGCGGCACCUUCUGAGUCCCCUGGAACGGGGCGCCACAGAGGGUGAGAGCCCCGUAUAGUUGGAUGCCUAGCCUGUGUAAAGCUCCUUCGACGAGUCGAGUAGUUUGGGAAUGCUGCUCAAAAUGGGAGGUAAAUUUCUUCUAAAGCUAAAUACCGGCCAGAGACCGAUAGCGCACAAGUAGAGUGAUCGAAAGAUGAAAAGCACUUUGAAAAGAGGGUUAAAUAGCACGUGAAAUUGUUGAAAGGGAAGCGCUUGUGACCAGACUUGCGCCGGGCGGAUCAUCCGGUGUUCUCACCGGUGCACUCCGCCCGGCUCAGGCCAGCAUCGGUUCUCGCGGGGGGAUAAAGGCCCCGGGAACGUAGCUCCUCCGGGAGUGUUAUAGCCCGGGGCGUAAUGUCCUCGCGGGGACCGAGGACCGCGCAUCUGCAAGGAUGCUGGCGUAAUGGUCACCAGCGACCCGUCUUGAAACACGGA